GGGCUGUACUGCCCUGGCUGGGGCGGGGCGGGGCUCAUGCACCCCCCACCCCCUUUCUGUGCAGCGGCGGGGCGCUCGCACAGAGCGGACCAGGCUUGGGCUGCAUGGACAUAACACCCGGCUAGAGGCGGCGCCUGGUCGCCCCCUGCUUUGCCUUUUGCAGGGGAAGACGGGCCGCCUCGCUGCCAAGGCUCGUCGGGCACCGUGCCAGCCUGUUGCCAAUAAUCCAUAUCUAUCCUUCAGGCAGGCGCUGAUUCUGUGCCCCCCCCCCGGGGAGAGAGAGCAUUGGAGCUGCAUCAAUUUUGCUGGGUUCUAGGAAGAUAUAAUGAUAUGCGAAUUCCCCUGCAUCAAAGCCGAAACAAAAGAAAAUGUCACCCAGGAACACUAUGCAGCCCCAGACAGGCCACCAGAAGCCUGGCUACAUGAUAGACAACGCCUAAGCCUUCAACUGAAUUCACUGUGAAGUCACAAGACCAGAAUGGAAGUGUAUUUUCCAUAUGAUGACAUGCAGGUAUGCCUCAGACAGCUGCUGUCUAAAGAUGAGGGUGUGACAAUUAUGUAUAUGAUUUGGAGCAAGAAGUAGAAGCUGAAAAUAAACAUCACAAAGAAAUAA
This is a long non-coding RNA of Caretta caretta (loggerhead turtle), 613 nucleotides long. RefSeq lists it as uncharacterized. The record is from RefSeq and is a predicted model, not a curated record. Lineage: Eukaryota; Metazoa; Chordata; Testudines; Cheloniidae.